UGCCAGCCGCCGCGGUAAUACGGAAGGUGCGAGCGUUAAUCGGAAUUACUGGGCGUAAAGCGCGCGUAGGCGGAAUGUUAAGUCUCAUGUGAAAGCCCUGGGCUCAACCUGGGAACUGCAUGGGAUACUGGCAUUCUAGAAUACAGUAGAGGGAGGUGGAAUUUCAGGUGUAGCGGUGAAAUGCGUAGAGAUCUGAAGGAACAUCAGUGGCGAAGGCGGCCUCCUGGACAAAGACUGACGCUCAUGUGCGAAAGUGUGGGUAGCGAACAGGAUUAGAUA
This 279-nucleotide ribosomal RNA is filed under the name uncultured bacterium. RNAcentral describes it as "partial 16S ribosomal RNA". It matches the Rfam family "Bacterial small subunit ribosomal RNA", at positions 506 to 784 of the family's 1533-position model. The record is from RNAcentral.